GUUUUUAUAAUGUCCGGUUAAAGUUAACCGACACUUUACUGUACAUUGUAAGAACGG
Molecule: microRNA precursor, 57 nt
Filed under: Acyrthosiphon pisum (pea aphid)
Lineage: Eukaryota; Metazoa; Arthropoda; Insecta; Hemiptera; Aphididae
Description: mir-3015 microRNA precursor family
Rfam family: mir-3015 microRNA precursor family
Source: Rfam by way of RNAcentral